Molecule: long non-coding RNA, 1777 nt
Organism: Lathyrus oleraceus (garden pea)
Lineage: Eukaryota; Viridiplantae; Streptophyta; Magnoliopsida; Fabales; Fabaceae
Exons: 7
Source: RefSeq, a predicted model, not a curated record
UCAGUCACGUGUGGAAAUUGGAAAAGGAAGAUUGGAUUUGAAAAUUAGGACGUAAACGCGCGCCAACCAGAGACUCUGUUCAUGCAAACCUUCCACCCAUCACCACCAUGGACCACCGCAUCGGAAAUCGCUUCCAACGGUGGUGGCCACCAGAAGUCAACAUCCAAUACGUCAAUAGCUUCACCUUCACCUCCUUAGUCCGAAUCUCUCACUAAUUUUAUGGAACCGUAACUCUAAAUCCAUAACCGAAAUGAAAUCCUUCAAGAACCCUAAAACAAAACUCCUAAAUCAAACGUCUCUCUCCAAGGAUCAAAGCCCAAGGGAUUGGGGUUCUGAACCCCCUAGCUCUCAUCUACGUCAUGGCUAUGAAAGAUUGAAUGAAAGAGAGAGUUCCGAAAUUUUACCUUGCUGGAUGUGACGACAAUGACGAAUGUGCUUGCGACGAUGAAAGCUCUGUUUCCAGGUUUUGCAAUGUGAUGUGGCCUUGGUUAGGUUUCCUUGCGAGAUGCUCAUUGGCUGCUAUGGAUUUAGCAUGUUGUUGGUUGCAGGUUCUGAGUUGCAUUGGAGUUUGCUAUUGGUCAAAUGAUGACCUGUUACUGCAUGUUUUGGCUGGUCUGGACUUGGCUUCCACUGCUGCCAGUUCUACAAUGUUGUUGAUGUUGCCUUUUCCUUUUGGAAAUGCUUAAUUGCUAGGUGUGGCUCUGAUGUGUUAUACUGCAGCAGGUGUGCUUGUUAAUUGUAUUUGUUUUGAUGUUUCACAAUGAUUGACAUGGUUUGGUAUGUUUGGUAAUAGGUCCUGCAGGAUUUGUGUUUGGCUGCAAAUUCUUAUUCAGCUGCUACUGAUACCUUGUAGGGCGUGUGACUUUUGUUGCUGCAAGGUUUUAAUGUUUAAUCAUUGCUGGUUGUUGCAGACAAUUUGCACUGGUGUUGUGCACUGAUUCAACGGGUUUGCAGUGGCUUGCACAUUGCCUAAGAUGGAUGUGGAUGAAGUAUUGGGUUACUAGGGUGGCCAAAUCUCUUUGACUCCUGAGAUCAACCUAAAGCAGCAUGUCAUGUGAUAAUAGUGAAAUGGACAAUGUAAUGUGUUUUCUUGAUUGCUGUGUUGCUUCCACAUUUGUGAUGCUUGGUAGGUUCUGACCAUGAUGAGCUUGGUUCUGGCUGUACUGUCUUGGCAGGAACCUUGGUGAAUUGCUCAUGGCAAGGGUAAUAUGUAGCUGCAGAACUUGCACUGCCAGCUGCAGGUUUGAUGAUGGCCAAAUGAUAUUGCUUCAUGGUUUCGACAGCUUGGUUUUAAAUACUGAACUGCUUUGAUAACAGGUCGGUUAUUUGGUUGUGGUUUCAGCUUGCUUCAAGCUUGCAUAGGCUCACAUCAAAAACCCAAAAUAUAGCCAAUGCAACAUUGCAUUCUGACUUGGUUUGUGCUUAUCAACCAAGCAUGCCAUGAAGUGAACAAUGGUUGGACAAAAUCCCAUGGCAUCAAAGUUAUAACUUGAAGUAUCCAUCAUGGAAUGGUCAAUCAAAGAUCAAAAGUCCAAUAUUGAAGAUCGGAUUAGGAAUGGGAAUUUGGGGAUGAAAAAGGUUGGGUUGACUUUGGUCAAAGUUGACCAAAAAGUCAACCAUUGACCAAAGUCAACAUUUGGUCAACAUAUUAAUUUUUUUGCACUUUCCCCAUGUAAUGAACCUAUUAUAGAUUGUAAUGAAUGGAAUUGAAUAUUCUUGGAUGAAAAUGGAUUGUUUUUAAAUUGAUCUUUAACAUGAACAUGAUACUUGUAUGGAA